UACGUAGGGGGCGAGCGUUGUCCGGAUUUAUUGGGCGUAAAGAGCGUGUAGGCGGCUAGGUAGGUCCGUUGUGAAAACUCGAGGCUCAACCUCGAGACGCCGAUGGAAACCAUCUGGCUAGAGUCCGGAAGAGGAGAGUGGAAUUCCUGGUGUGGCGGUGAAAUGCGCAGAUAUCAGGAAGAACACCCGUGGCUAAGGCGGCUCUCUAGUACGGUACUGACGCUGAGACGCGAAAGCGUGGGGAGCGAACAGG
This 253-nucleotide ribosomal RNA is filed under the name uncultured bacterium. RNAcentral's name for it is "partial 16S ribosomal RNA". It matches the Rfam family "Bacterial small subunit ribosomal RNA", at positions 524 to 776 of the family's 1533-position model. The record is from RNAcentral.